This 798-nucleotide ribosomal RNA is filed under the name Lactococcus lactis. RNAcentral's name for it is "bacterial SSU rRNA". It matches the Rfam family "Bacterial small subunit ribosomal RNA", at positions 44 to 828 of the family's 1533-position model. The record is from RNAcentral. Lineage: Bacteria; Bacillati; Bacillota; Bacilli; Lactobacillales; Streptococcaceae.
GUGCUAUACUGCAAGUUGAGCGCUGAAGGUUGGUACUUGUACCGACUGGAUGAGCAGCGAACGGGUGAGUAACGCGUGGGGAAUCUGCCUUUGAGCGGGGGACAACAUUUGGAAACGAAUGCUAAUACCGCAUAACAACUUUAAACACAAGUUUUAAGUUUGAAAGAUGCAAUUGCAUCACUCAAAGAUGAUCCCGCGUUGUAUUAGCUAGUUGGUGAGGUAAAGGCUCACCAAGGCGAUGAUACAUAGCCGACCUGAGAGGGUGAUCGGCCACAUUGGGACUGAGACACGGCCCAAACUCCUACGGGAGGCAGCAGUAGGGAAUCUUCGGCAAUGGACGAAAGUCUGACCGAGCAACGCCGCGUGAGUGAAGAAGGUUUUCGGAUCGUAAAACUCUGUUGGUAGAGAAGAACGUUGGUGAGAGUGGAAAGCUCAUCAAGUGACGGUAACUACCCAGAAAGGGACGGCUAACUACGUGCCAGCAGCCGCGGUAAUACGUAGGUCCCGAGCGUUGUCCGGAUUUAUUGGGCGUAAAGCGAGCGCAGGUGGUUUAUUAAGUCUGGUGUAAAAGGCAGUGGCUCAACCAUUGUAUGCAUUGGAAACUGGUAGACUUGAGUGCAGGAGAGGAGAGUGGAAUUCCAUGUGUAGCGGUGAAAUGCGUAGAUAUAUGGAGGAACACCGGUGGCGAAAGCGGCUCUCUGGCCUGUAACUGACACUGAGGCUCGAAAGCGUGGGGAGCAAACAGGAUUAGAUACCCUGGUAGUCCACGCCGUAAACGAUGAGUGCUAGAUGUAGGGA